RNAcentral lists this ribosomal RNA (431 nucleotides) under uncultured bacterium. RNAcentral's name for it is "partial 16S ribosomal RNA". It matches the Rfam family "Bacterial small subunit ribosomal RNA", at positions 29 to 507 of the family's 1533-position model. The record is from RNAcentral.
AACGAACGCUGGCGGCAGGCCUAACACAUGCAAGUCGAGCGCCCUUUCGGGGGCGCGGCGGACGGGUGAGUAACGCGUGGGAAUAUGCCCUUCUCUACGGAAUAGCCUCGGGAAACUGAGAGUAAUACCGUAUACGCCCUAUGGGGGAAAGAUUUAUCGGGGAAGGAUUAGCCCGCGUUGGAUUAGGUAGUUGGUGGGGUAAUGGCCUACCAAGCCGACGAUCCAUAGCUGGUUUGAGAGGAUGAUCAGCCACACUGGGACUGAGACACGGCCCAGACUCCUACGGGAGGCAGCAGUGGGGAAUCUUAGACAAUGGGGGCAACCCUGAUCUAGCCAUGCCGCGUGAGUGAUGAAGGCCUUAGGGUUGUAAAGCUCUUUCAGCUGGGAAGAUAAUGACGGUACCAGCAGAAGAAGCCCCGGCUAACUCCGUG